Molecule: long non-coding RNA, 465 nt
Organism: Onychostoma macrolepis
Lineage: Eukaryota; Metazoa; Chordata; Actinopteri; Cypriniformes; Cyprinidae
Exons: 3
Source: RefSeq, a predicted model, not a curated record
ACUUGCCCCCACCUCUGCAGAUAACCCAGGAUUCCGCUUAUCCAGGGUUUAGGAUGACCCAGGGUUAACAAUUUCAAGUGUGAAAAGCCCUAUAGAGAACCAGGAAGGAGGAUGAUCGGGGAUUGGAGAGGAACAAAGACACGUCGAUGAGGCACACUCCUCAGGAAGCUGGAGACAAGGGAGAACCAGGAGAUUCAGAGAACUAAGGAGGAACACAAAAGGAAAGCCAUCAUCUGUAAUGUAAGACAUCUAAGACAGUGAGUGCUACAUGGAGACGGGAAGAACAGCUGGUUGUCCUGCAGUGCCAAACCACAUGUGACCAUAUGAUCACCCAGACGUGUUUGAGAACUUGAGGAUGAAAUGCAAUGUAGUACUCAAAGCUGCUCAUGGUCAGCCUGCUGCUUUUGAUAUUGAUCAGAUGUCUCUGUCUCUGUCUUUUGUUUAUAUGCAGUACUGGUCAAAUGU